Molecule: transfer RNA, 68 nt
Filed under: Rhodella violacea
Lineage: Eukaryota; Rhodophyta; Rhodellophyceae; Rhodellales; Rhodellaceae
Rfam family: tRNA
About the family: Transfer RNA (tRNA) molecules are approximately 80 nucleotides in length.
Source: RNAcentral
GGGAAUUGGUCUAGAGGUGAGGAUUCCUCGUUUGGGACGAGGAGGUCCCGGGUUCGAACCCCGGAUUC